UGCUAUGCUAUCUGGCUUCGAUAUCUGUCACCCCAUUGAUCGCCAGGGUUGAUUCAGCUGAUCUGGCUGGCUAGGAGGGUGUCCCCUUCCUCCCUCACCACUCCAUGUACGUCCCUCCCGAAUCUGUGCCCUCAGUGGAAGAGGAUGGCCUUCCCUGAAUAGAGACGGACCGGUCUUCGGUGGAGGGUAUACAAGUAGCUGCUAGAACCUCCAAACAAGCUCUCAAAAAAUUAAUAAUAAAAUUAAAUAAAAAGAAGAUUAAAGAGUAAAAAACUACCACCAUUU
This 285-nucleotide small nuclear RNA is filed under the name Sorex araneus (European shrew). Its description in RNAcentral is "7SK RNA (ENSSARG00000017662.1)". It matches the Rfam family "7SK RNA". From Rfam's summary of the family: 7SK was discovered as an abundant small nuclear RNA in the mid-70s but a possible function has only recently been suggested. Two independent studies have found that 7SK RNA binds the CDK9/cyclin T complex (known as elongation factor P-TEFb). Lineage: Eukaryota; Metazoa; Chordata; Mammalia; Eulipotyphla; Soricidae. The record is from RNAcentral.